GCCUAAUACAUGCAAGUCGAGCGCACUGGCCCAACAGAAAUGACGUGCUUACACUGAUUUGACGUUGGAUUCCCAGUGAGCGGCGGACGGGUGAGUAACACGUGGGCAACCUGCCCCAAAGCGGGGGAUAACAUUUGGAAACAGGUGCUAAUACCGCAUAACUUGGAAAACCACAUGGUUUUCCAAUAAAAGAUGGUUUCGGCUAUCACUUUGGGAUGGGCCCGCGGUGCAUUAGCUAGUUGGUAAGGUAACGGCUUACCAAGGCGAUGAUGCAUAGCCGAGUUGAGAGACUGAUCGGCCACAAUGGAACUGAGACACGGUCCAUACUCCUACGGGAGGCAGCAGUAGGGAAUCUUCCACAAUGGGCGCAAGCCUGAUGGAGCAACACCGCGUGAGUGAAGAAGGGUUUCGGCUCGUAAAACUCUGUUGUUGGAGAAGAACGUGCGUAAGAGUAACUGUUUACGCAGUGACGGUAUCCAACCAGAAAGUCACGGCUAACUACGUGCCAGCAGCCGCGGUAAUACGUAGGUGGCAAGCGUUAUCCGGAUUUAUUGGGCGUAAAGCGAGCGCAGGCGGUUGCUUAGGUCUGAUGUGAAAGCCUUCGGCUUAACCGAAGAAGUGCAUCGGAAACCGGGCGACUUGAGUGCAGAAGAGGACAGUGGAACUCCAUGUGUAGCGGUGGAAUGCGUAGAUAUAUGGAAGAACACCAGUGGCGAAGGCGGCUGUCUGGUCUGCAACUGACGCUGAGGC
This 750-nucleotide ribosomal RNA is filed under the name uncultured Bacilli bacterium. Its description in RNAcentral is "bacterial SSU rRNA". It matches the Rfam family "Bacterial small subunit ribosomal RNA", at positions 46 to 752 of the family's 1533-position model. Lineage: Bacteria; Bacillati; Bacillota; Bacilli. The record is from RNAcentral.